This 443-nucleotide ribosomal RNA is filed under the name uncultured bacterium. Its description in RNAcentral is "partial 16S ribosomal RNA". It matches the Rfam family "Bacterial small subunit ribosomal RNA", at positions 338 to 795 of the family's 1533-position model. The record is from RNAcentral.
CCUACGGGUGGCAGCAGUGGGGAAUAUUGGGCAAUGGGCGCAAGCCUGACCCAGCAACGCCGCGUGAAGGAAGAAGGCUUUCGGGUUGUAAACUUCUUUUCUCAGGGACGAAGCAAGUGACGGUACUUGCGGAAUAAGCCACGGCUAACUACGUGCCAGCAGCCGCGGUAAUACGUAGGAGGCAAGCGUUAUCCGGAUUUACUGGGGGCAAAGGGCGUGUAGGCGGGACUGCAAGUCAGAUGUGAAAACCACGGGCUCAACCUGUGGCCUUCAUUUGAAACUGUAGUUCUUUAGUACUGGAGAGGCAGACGGAAUUCCUAGUGUAGCGGGGAAAUGCGUAGAUAUUAGGAGGCACACCAGUGGCGAAGGCGGUCUGCUGGACAGCAACUGACGCUGAGGCGCGAAAGCGUGGGGAGCAAACAGGAUUAGAUACCCGUGUAGUC